This 307-nucleotide ribosomal RNA is filed under the name uncultured bacterium. Its description in RNAcentral is "bacterial SSU rRNA". It matches the Rfam family "Bacterial small subunit ribosomal RNA", at positions 28 to 365 of the family's 1533-position model. The record is from RNAcentral.
GAUGAACGCUGGCGGCAUGCCUAACACAUGCAAGUCGAACGAGACCUUCGGGUCUAGUGGCGCACGGGUGCGUAACGCGUGGGAAUCUGCCCUUUGCUUCGGAAUAACAGUUAGAAAUGACUGCUAAUACCGGAUGAUGUCUUCGGACCAAAGAUUUAUCGGCAAAAGGAUGACGCCCGCGUAGGAUUAGGUAGUUGGUGGGGUAAAGCCUACAAGCCGACGAUCCUUAGCUGGUCUGAGAGGAUGAUCAGCCACACUGGGACUGAGACACGGCCCAGACUCUACGGGAGCAGCAGUGGGGAAUAUU